UUUUUCGGUUUUCUACAGAGGAGGCAUUAAAAGGUUGAAUCACUGAGAAAGAUGCAUGGAGGAUUCUUGGAAGCUUCAUUCACCGAUUCUAGGGAAACGAUAUAUUUUUUUACAAAUAAUGAAGAAGGAAAAUAUUGGGUUUUGCAAAGGAAGAUACACAAAUAACUAUAAAUAAUCAAAUCAAUUGUUGCUUACUGUAAAAGCAAGCAAGAAAAAG
This 217-nucleotide unclassified non-coding RNA is filed under the name Hevea brasiliensis (rubber tree). Lineage: Eukaryota; Viridiplantae; Streptophyta; Magnoliopsida; Malpighiales; Euphorbiaceae. The record is from RNAcentral.